GACGAACGCUGGCGGCGUGCUUAACACAUGCAAGUCGAACGGAAAGGCCCUGCUUGCCGGGUACUCGAGUGGCGAACGGGUGAGUAACACGUGGGUGAUCUGCCCUGCACUUCGGGAUAAGCCUGGAAACUGGGUCUAAUACCGGAUAGGAGCCAUUUUUAGUGUGAUGGUUGGAAAGUUUUUUCGGUGUAGGAUGAGCUCGCGGCCUAUCAGCUUGUUGGUGGGGUAAUGGCCUACAAAGGCGGCGACGGGUAGCCGGCCUGAGAGGGUGGACGGCCACAAUGGGACUGAGAUACGGCCAAGACACCUACGGGAGGCAGCAGUGGGGAAUAUUGCACAAUGGGCGCAAGCCGGAUGCAGCGACGCCGCGUGGGGGACGACGGCCUUCGGGUUGUAAACACCUUUCGCUAGGGACGAAGCUUUUUGUGACGGUACCUAGAGAAGAAGCACCGGCUAACUCCGUG
Molecule: ribosomal RNA, 464 nt
Filed under: uncultured bacterium
Lineage: Bacteria
Description: partial 16S ribosomal RNA
Rfam family: Bacterial small subunit ribosomal RNA
Source: RNAcentral